AAAUAUUUUACUUCUCCUGUGAGAAAAGAAUGACAACCCUCUGCAGGCAAGGUUACUACUAGAGGAUUAUUUCACCUAUUGGCUGGCUAUAAGUCCUUGACCUUUAGUCCCAUGUGACAAUAUACCUGAGCAUCCAGUGAUAAGCAUUCCAGAAACUACGGUCGUUAUAAGGAGAACAAACAGAGCCCUAAAAACCUGUUGG
Molecule: long non-coding RNA, 202 nt
Filed under: Coturnix japonica (Japanese quail)
Lineage: Eukaryota; Metazoa; Chordata; Aves; Galliformes; Phasianidae
Description: lncRNA (ENSCJPG00005016811.1)
Source: RNAcentral